GAUGAACGCUGGCGGCGUGCCUAACACAUGCAAGUCGAACGGAACUUCUUCGACAGAAUUCUUCGGAAGGAAGUUGAUUAAGUUUAGUGGCGGACGGGUGAGUAACGCGUGAGUAACCUGCCUUUGAGAGGGGAAUAACUUCCCGAAAGGGAUGCUAAUACCGCAUGAUGCAUAGAAGUCGCAUGGCUUUUAUGCCAAAGAUUUAUCGCUUUGAGAUGGCCUCGCGUCCGAUUAGCUAGUUGGUGAGGUAACGGCCCACCAAGGCAACGAUCGGUAGCCGGACUGAGAGGUUGAACGGCCACAUUGGGACUGAGACACGGCCCAGACUCCUACGGGAGGCAGCAGUGGGGAAUAUUGCACAAUGGGGGAAACCCUGAUGCAGCGACGCCGCGUGGAGGAAGAAGGUCUUCGGAUUGUAAACUCCUGUUGUUGAGGAAGAUAAUGACGGUACUCAACAAGGAAGUGACGGCUAACUACGUG
RNAcentral lists this ribosomal RNA (480 nucleotides) under uncultured bacterium. RNAcentral describes it as "bacterial SSU rRNA". It matches the Rfam family "Bacterial small subunit ribosomal RNA", at positions 28 to 507 of the family's 1533-position model. The record is from RNAcentral.